Molecule: small RNA, 710 nt
Filed under: Pan troglodytes (chimpanzee)
Lineage: Eukaryota; Metazoa; Chordata; Mammalia; Primates; Hominidae
Description: processed transcript
Source: RNAcentral
CAGGCGGGCGGGAGGGCAGGCACGGAGAGGCGGGCGCCGAGGAGGGGCAGGUAGGGCUGGGACGCAGGGGUAACUGGAUCCCCCGACUUCAGCCCAGGCCCUGGUCUGACCACCCUGGGAGCAGGGACUUUCCACAGUCAGCUGGACGCACACUCAGCCCAGUAAAAGAGGGGACCCAUCCCGGGAGCCCCGGGGAGGGCACAGCUGCCUCCUCCCGGGCUCCCCUGCCACCUGGUGCCUACCUGCCCCCUGCUCCCUGCCGGGUCCGGUCCUCACCUCAUCUUCAUCUGGCCUUGACUCUGCCCUUGAGGGGCCUAGGGGUGCAGCCGGCCUGCUCCGAGCUCCCCUGCAGAUGGAGGAGGCCAUCCUGGUCCCCUGCAUGCUGGGGCUCCUGCUGCUGCCCAUCCUGGCCAUGUUGAUGGCACUGUGUGUGCACUGCCACAGACUGCCAGGCUCCUACGACAGCACAUCCUCAGAUAGUUUGUAUCCAAGGGGCAUCCAGUUCAAACGGCCUCAUCCCCGCAGCCCCUUGGGGGCUCCCACCGGACGCCAUCUUCCCGGCGGGAUUCUGAUGGUGCCAACAGUGUGGCGAGCUACGAGAACGAGGAACCAGCCUGUGAGGAUGCGGAUGAGGAUGAGGACGACUAUCACAACCCGGGCUACCUGGUGGUGCUUCCUGACAGCACCCCGGCCACUAGCACUGCUGCCCC